GACAAACGCUGGCGGCGUGCCUAACACAUGCAAGUCGAACGGGGUUGUUCCUUCGGGGACAACUUAGUGGCGAACGGGUGAGUAACGCGUGAGGAACCUGCCUUUCAGUGGGGGACAACAGUUGGAAACGAUUGCUAAUACCGGAUAAUUUCUUGAUAGGCAUCUAUUAAGAAUAAAAGUUGGGAUACAACACAUUGAGAUGGGCUUAUGGCGCAUUAGUUAGUUGGUGAGGUAACGGCUCACCAAGACGAUGAUGCGUAGCCGACCUGAGAGGGUGACCGGCCACACUGGGACUGAGACACGGCCCAG
RNAcentral lists this ribosomal RNA (309 nucleotides) under uncultured bacterium. Its description in RNAcentral is "bacterial SSU rRNA". It matches the Rfam family "Bacterial small subunit ribosomal RNA", at positions 28 to 334 of the family's 1533-position model. The record is from RNAcentral.